This is a long non-coding RNA of Panthera uncia (snow leopard), 877 nucleotides long. RefSeq lists it as uncharacterized. NCBI's taxonomy places the organism in Eukaryota, Metazoa, Chordata, Mammalia, Carnivora, Felidae. The transcript is spliced from 5 exons. The record is from RefSeq and is a predicted model, not a curated record.
AAUAGACCAAGCCAGUCUGGACCCGCAUUUUCCAGGUCCCUACCCAAAACUGCCCACAGGUCUCUCUGCAGGGAGAAGGCUUCCUGGUCAGAAGCUGUCCAUAAGGAGCAAACUCUUCCACUGCUGCCCCCCAAGGCUGAGGCUCUGCCCUGCACUCCACCCUGCAGACUCAAGUGGGCUCAAUGUAAUGAGUCCUUCCUUCAGAAAGAGAGAGAUGAGAUGUACCCCUGGACAUUGGAGACAACUGCCUUUAUUCCUUUCCUGUGUGUACUGUCAAGAUCAGGAUGAGUGCUGUCUGUUUGCUCUGGCUAAGCCUACAGCCCAGGAUGGAAACUCUGAACUCAUGAAGUAUGAGCCUGAAAGACAGCAAGUUGGAGCCAUGGAAACCCUACCAAGUGUGAGGUGCCUUGAUGCGCCAUGGAGAAAAAGUCACAGUCCCAGAGCUGGAUGGCUUACAUGCCACAUACAGAAGCUGGUGAGUAAAAUAAGAAGAUACAAUGCAGAUAUGAGAAAUAAUAAGCACAGAGCCUGUGGGAGUUGAGAAGAGGUGGCAUCAAGGACGCCUUCCUGGAGGAAGGGACAUCUAACAACUGAGAGCACACGUUACCUCACUCUGAAAUGAAAGCAUGGCCAAGGUGGUCAAGGGAAGGGACCCUGAAAGGGAUCAGCCUCCUCAAGUCAGGUCACAGCAAGCCAUCACCCUGACUCCUCCUCCCCCUCUUCAGGAAAUUCAGAAUCCAUGGAAGGAAUCUGAGGCGGAAGAGAAUGUGGAAUUCAAUGACUUUAAAAAAAAAAACAGCCUUCAGCACCUCUCCACAACCACCAUCCCCUCCUCUCCAGUUCUGCAGGAAAAAAUCAUAAGGUGACAUUUAUUGAC